Molecule: ribosomal RNA, 1492 nt
Filed under: metagenome
Description: bacterial SSU rRNA
Rfam family: Bacterial small subunit ribosomal RNA
Source: RNAcentral
AGAGUUUGAUCAUGGCUCAGGAUGAACGCUAGCUACAGGCUUAACACAUGCAAGUCGAGGGGAAACGACAUCGAAAGCUUGCUUUUGAUGGGCGUCGACCGGCGCACGGGUGAGUAACGCGUAUCCAACCUGCCCACCACUUGGGGAUAACCUUGCGAAAGUAAGACUAAUACCCAAUGAUAUCUCUAGAAGACAUCUGAAAGAGAUUAAAGAUUUAUCGGUGAUGGAUGGGGAUGCGUCUGAUUAGCUUGUUGGCGGGGUAACGGCCCACCAAGGCAACGAUCAGUAGGGGUUCUGAGAGGAAGGUCCCCCACAUUGGAACUGAGACACGGUCCAAACUCCUACGGGAGGCAGCAGUGAGGAAUAUUGGUCAAUGGGCGAGAGCCUGAACCAGCCAAGUAGCGUGCAGGAAGACGGCCCUAUGGGUUGUAAACUGCUUUUAUAAGGGAAUAAGGUGAGUCUCGUGAGACUUUUUGUAUGUACCUUAUGAAUAAGGACCGGCUAAUUCCGUGCCAGCAGCCGCGGUAAUACGGAAGGUCCGGGUGUGGUCCGGAUUUAUUGGGUUUAAAGGGAGCGUAGGCCGGAGAUUAAGCGUGUUGUGAAAUGUAGACGCUCAACGUCUGCACUGCAGCGCGAACUGGUUUCCUUGAGUACGCACAAAGUGGGCGGAAUUCGUGGUGUAGCGGUGAAAUGCUUAGAUAUCACGAAGAACUCCGAUUGCGAAGGCAGCUCACUGGAGCGCAACUGACGCUGAAGCUCGAAAGUGCGGGUAUCGAACAGGAUUAGAUACCCUGGUAGUCCGCACGGUAAACGAUGGAUGCCCGCUGUUGGUCUGAACAGGUCAGCGGCCAAGCGAAAGCAUUAAGCAUCCCACCUGGGGAGUACGCCGGCAACGGUGAAACUCAAAGGAAUUGACGGGGGCCCGCACAAGCGGAGGAACGUGUGGUUUAAUUCGACGCAACGCGAAGAACCUUACCAAGUCUUGACAUCCGUUGACCGACAUAGAAAUAUGUUUUUCCUUCGGGACAGCGAGACAGGUGGUGCAUGGUUGUCGUCAGCUCGUGUCGUGAGAUGUUGGGUUAAGUCCCGCAGCGAGCGCAACCCUUAUGGUCAGUUACUACGCAAGAGGACUCUGGCCAGACUGCCGUUGACAAAACGGAGGAAGGUGGGGAUGACGUCAAAUCAUCAUGCCCUUUAUGACUUGGGCUACACACGUACUACAAUGGCGUUAAACAAAGAGAAGCAAGACCGCGAGGUGGAGCAAAACUCAGAAACAACGUCCCAGUUCGGACUGCAGGCUGCAACUCGCCUGCACGAAGUCGGAAUUGCUAGUAAUCGUGGAUCAGCAUGCCACGGUGAAUACGUUCCCGGGCCUUGUACACACCGCCCGUCACACCAUGAGAGCCGGGGGGACCCGAAGUCGGUAGUCUAACCGCAAGGAGGACGCCGCCGAAGGUAAAACUGGUGAUUGGGGUGAAGUCGUAACAAGGUA